Molecule: long non-coding RNA, 1372 nt
Organism: Mustela erminea (ermine)
Lineage: Eukaryota; Metazoa; Chordata; Mammalia; Carnivora; Mustelidae
Exons: 3
Source: RefSeq, a predicted model, not a curated record
CACUAAUCACGUUCUGAUGAAAUUCUUUUUACUGGUUUGUCUUCUUCACCAAACCCUCAGACCUCUCACGCUCCUCCAGUGGCAUGGCCAGAUGGUUUCUAGCACCUCCAGAUGUGCACCAGACCAAUUGUUGGCAAUUCCUUUUUUCCCCAAGAGUUUCAGCAAAAUACCUUGGAUCGGAUCUCAUUGGAUCCAGCAAGCAGAAAAAUUAGCUGACGAGCCACUCCAGGCCUGGCACACGUGCCCACCACCGAGCCAGGCUCCCCUCGUAGACCUAAGGCUCUUGGGGACAAGAAACAGCGGCCACCGCAGGAAGUGGAAAGAGAGCGAACCAAGAGCAGUGGGUUCCAGGCCAGGCUCUGGCAUGAACUGGCACUCUCUCUGCUUUAUCUCAACAUCUCAUUUGUAAGAAAGUGUAGCUAAGAAUUAUUCAGCCAUUCUCUUGUGCUGAUCACUGCUUACAAUGAUUAAAGGAGACAAUUUAGGUGAUACAAACACAUUUAUUUAACACUUCAUGAAGCAGGCAGUCUCUGUUCGCAAGGGCCCAGAGAAUGGCAAAAUGGGGCAGAAGGCAGGAAGCUUUUGCAGGGUAGAGAAGAUGUGACAAGGAAGAGAAAAGUAGAAAAUACUUAAGGAACAGGAAAUGAGUGUAGAGCCCAGAGCUCCCUUGGCUUUCGGGGAUUGGCUGCCCGGAUAGACUGCAUUUCGGGUCUGGCAAAGCAUUUACACCAACACAAAAGCAGCCGCAAUUUCCUCUCGCUGACUUGGCCCCCCCACGCAGGAGUGGCUCCAUGCUGGGCCUAGAAGCUGAUUUCGACAGCACAUUGUGCCGACCUUCACGUGACUGAUCUCCCUGAACCACAGAAUAACUUUGUAAAGUACCUAGUAGUAUUCUCCGUCUAUUGUGCAGAUGGGGAAACUGAGGCUCAGAGGUUGACUCCAGAGCACACAGGAGAUAAGGGUUGGGACUAGUUUUGGACCCAGAGCCUAUGUAUUUCACUGUUUAACACAAUGAUUUCUAAAACCUCAAUACGCCAACCCCAUAUGCAGCUCAGAGUCACAUCCUAGAAACGCCAAUCUGACCCUGAGCCGUUUCAUUCUCCCCACUCUAGCUUAUCCACCUGACAUCUCUCUUCUUCCUGCUUCUACCCUCAGUACUUCUGGGUUGCCUGGAUACUGGGUUCCAGCAAAAGAGCUCCUGGUACCAAAAGCCCUCAUUCUAUUUUCUCUUCUUUUCUCGGCCCUGGAGAUACGAACUACUCUUGGUCCACACAGCUAAAUAUAUCUCCCUUAGGCUGAUGGCUUCUCAAAAGCUACUGAAAUAAUUCACCUAAAGUGCCCAUUUGUUGUGUGCUGAUUUGAAUAAAUAAAG